This 3759-nucleotide long non-coding RNA is filed under the name Homo sapiens (human). RNAcentral describes it as "HSALNT0399797". Lineage: Eukaryota; Metazoa; Chordata; Mammalia; Primates; Hominidae. The record is from RNAcentral.
CCUUGUUGUGUGAACGUCACAGAGUGACUUACACAAACCUAGAUUGUACAGCCUGCUACACACCUAGGCUAUGUGGUGUAGUCUGUUGCUCCCAGGUUACAAACUUGCACAGUACGUCUUUGUCCUGAAUACUGCAAGCAGUUGUAACACAAUCUUAUUCAAAGAAAAAUGACUUUAGCUUGGCAUGUGAGAAAGGUCAGGACAUUACACUGUUGGAAAUGUCUAUAUGCUUGAAAAGAACCGAGAGUCCUCUGAAUACGUAGCUCCCCCAGCGUCUUCACAGUGGGGUGUUUCACCCAUUUCGUGGAGUCCAAAUUCUGGAACUGGGAAGUUCAAGGCUGAGGAGCUGCAUCUGGUGAGGGUCUUCUUGCUGGUGGCCUUCUUCUGCAGAGUCCUGAGGUGCUGCAGGGGAUCUUGUGGCAGAGUACUGCUGUGACAAACCACCACAAACCGUGUGGCCAACAACACAGAAAUUCAUCCUCUCAUGGCUCUGGGGGCCAGAAGUCCAAUGUCAAGGUGUCAGGUAGGCCGUGCCCCUCCACAAGCUCCGGGGAGGAUCUCCCCUUUUCUCUUCCGGCUUCUAGUGGCCCCGGGUGCUCCUUGGCUUGUGGCUGCAUCAGUCUGUUCUCUGCCUCCAUCUUCCCAAGCCCUCUCUCCUCUCACUUAUGAGUCUCUCCUCUGCGUAUCUCUAAUGAGGACAUUUAUUGCUAGAUUUAGGGCCCACCUGGAUAAUCCAAGAUGAUCUCAUCCUGGCACCCUUCACUGAAUUAUAUCUGCAGAGUCCUUGUUUUGCAAAUAGGGUCACACUCACAGGUUCUGGGCUUUAGAACAUGAACAUAUCCCUUGUGUUUGGGAAGGGAGCACUAUUCAGCCCUUUCUGGAGGGUUCUUAUGAACAGGUACCUGGCAAUGUCCUCAGAUGCUCAGUGAGGACGCACCUGAGGUUCCAGUCCUGACAGCAAAGGUGACCGCCCUGGACCUCAGUCAGCUCAUCUGCAGAAUGGCUAGGUGAGCUCAAGGGUUUCUUCCUUCUGGCACAUUCCCAGCGCAAAUCCUGUCGGUCCCUCGGCAUCUAUGCUGCUGAUUUGGGUCUACUCCAGGGCUUUACAAAUAUACAUAUCUCUAAGCAUAGAACAUAUAUUUUAUUGUAGUAAAAUACACAUAACAUAAAAUUCACCAUUUUAACCUUUUUGUUUUGUUUUGAGCCAGGGUCUCUCUCUGUCACCCAGGCUGGAGUGCAGUGGCACCAUCACGGCUCACUGCAGCCUCCACCCGCCUCAGCCUCCUGAGUAGUCAGGACCACAGGUAUGCAUCACCACACCCAGCUAACUCUUGUAUUUUUUUUUGUAGAGAUGAAGUCUCAUUAUGUUGCCCAGGCUGGUCUCAAACUCCUGGGCUCAAGCAAUCCACCUGCCUCAGCUUCCCGAAGUGGGAUUACAGGUGUGAGCCACCGUGCCUGGCCCCACUUUAACCAUUUUUAAGUGUGGAAUUCAGUGGCAUUAAGCACACUCAUAUGGUUGUGUAACCAUCACCAUUAUCCAUAUCAUCUUUCACAAAGAUGAAAUAAGAAGACUCAUUCUCAGGCCCCUCGGGCCUCAGAGUGUCCUUCAUGGGUAAAGCAUCUUAUAGAAGAUGCCUCUACUACAGAGCUCACUAUCCUGGUGGAGAUGUGAAGAUCAGGAUGUUAGAAAAGGAGGCAGACAGGACUGAGGAUGGUGGUGAAUCCAAAGCAAUACCCCCGGCUCCUCCUCCUGCAGGAUCUGCCCUGUCUUGUCACCAUGUCUUCUCCUUGCUGUCCACCCGUGUUCUUUUUUCCCCUCUAGACCAGAAGUUCUUAAAGCCUGGUCCCUGGACCAGCAACAUCAGUACCUCCUGGGAGCUUGUUAGAAAAGCAGAUUUUCUGUGCUCACCCCUACCCACUGAAUCAGAAAUGAGGGUGAGGUGUGGUGGCUGUUUCACAGCCCUCCCGGGAUUCUGAUCCAUGCUAAAGAGUGGGAAGCACUGCUCCGGAUCUGCAGAGAAAUCCUGCUUUCAAAGAACUCACUAACGCCCCUACAAAACUACAAUUUUUAUGACUAGAAGCUCUGUGAAUACCUUAAACAAGGAAGCUGACAGAUUUAGUAAGAUCGCGUAGGUCAUGAUCGCAAAUGGGCUGCCCAAGGGCACGUCUUUCCCUUGGGUUUGUGCAUUUGUCCUGCACACAAUUAAAAACAUUUAACUAGUUGCCAGUAUUAAAGAAAUAGAAACUUCCACGUAGAAAUUCAGAUUUUGGCAUUAUUUGAAAUAAUACUGUCUGGCAGUCCUGAUAUGUCUUGGCCUAGGUCCAAGCAUGGGCCACCAUGACUCGAUGCAGGGACUGCCAGGCAGCCCAAGUCCCCCUACGCCCCAAGGCAAGUCCGCCUGGUGAGCCCACCCCCCCAUUUUUAUCUGCACUGACUGCUGUAGGGCUUUCGAGUUGUCAACCUCUGUAUGUGAAGGGGGACCACAAACUGUAGCCCUCUGUGAUUGUUAAUGUUAUAUGUCAGCUUGGCUAGGCCACGGCAUCCAAAUAUUUGGUCAAACACUAGUCUAGAUGUUGUGAAGGUAAUUUCUUUUAGGUGAGAGUAACAGUUAUAUCAGUGGACUUUGAUGAAAGCAGAUUGCCCUCCAUAAUGUGGGUGGGCCUCAUCCAAUCAGUUGAAGGCCUUCAAAGAAAAAAGACUGACUCCCUGCAGGAAGAGGGAGUUCUGCCAGCCUCCACGGUCACAUAAGCCAAUUCCUUAAAAUAAGCCCCUCUCUCUCUCUCUCUCCUCCUCUCUCCACACAUGCAUACAAAACACACACACACACACACACACACACACACACACACACAAAUGGUUCUAUGUCUCUGUAGAAUCCUGACGAACAACCCAUGCUGUGAGUAUUAUUAUUUGUUGGUGACCCUGGACCAUUCAGGCACCAAGAGGUGCAGGAACUCUUCUUCCGUUUGCUGGCAGCUCUUAGGGAUACACGCUCAUUCAAACCAUGCCCUCAGAGAUGGAGGCUGCAAAGCUAAUGAGUAGUAUUAUAAUAUUAAUAACAAGAAAUAAAUAAUCCAUAAAAAUAAUUAUGUUUAUUUAUUUAUUUAUUUAUUUUUGAGAUGGAGUUUUACUCUUGUUGCCCAGGCUGAAGUAAAAUGGUGCAAUCUCGGCUCACUGCAACCUCCGCCUCCCAGGUUCAAGUGAUUCUCCUGCCUCAGACUCCCGAGUAGCUGGGAUUAUAGGCAUGCGCCACCACGCCCGGCUAAUUUUGUAUUUUUAGUAGAGAUGGGAUUUCUCCAUGUUGGUCAGGUUGGUCUCGAAUUGCUGACCUCAGGUGAUCCGCCUGCCUUGGCCUCCCAAAGUGCUGGGAUUAUAGCCAUGAGCCACCGUGCCUGGCCAACAAUGAUGUUUAUUAACAAUAACACUAUUAACAUGUUGAGUGUUUAUUCUAUGCCAGACACCAUGCUAAAUGCUUUCUUUCUUUCUUUUUGAGAUGGAAUCUUGUUCUGUCGCCCAGGCUGGAGUGCAAUGGCGCAAUCUCGGCUCACUGCAAACUCCACCUCCCAGGUUCAAGCGAUUCUCCUGCCUCAGCCUCCUGAGUAGCUAGGAUUACAGGUGCCUGCCACCACGUCCAGCUAUUUUUGUAUUUUUAGUAGAGAUGGGGUUUCACCAUGUUGGCCAGGCUGGUCUCAAACUCCUGACCUUGGGUGAUCCGCCUGCCUUGGCCUCCCAAAAUGCUGGGAUUACAGGCAUGAACC